Molecule: ribosomal RNA, 274 nt
Filed under: uncultured bacterium
Lineage: Bacteria
Description: partial 16S ribosomal RNA
Rfam family: Bacterial small subunit ribosomal RNA
Source: RNAcentral
AUACAGAGGGUGCGAGCGUUAAUCGGAAUUACUGGGCGUAAAGCGCGCGUAGGCGGCUGAUUAAGUCAGAUGUGAAAUCCCCGGGCCCAACCUGGGAACUGCAUCUGAUACUGGUAAGCUAGAGUUUUGGAGAGGGAAGUAGAAUUUCAGGUGUAGCGGUGAAAUGCAUAGAGAUCUGAAGGAAUACCAGUGGCGAAGGCGACUUCCUGGCCAAAAACUGACGCUGAGGUGCGAAAGCGUGGGUAGCAAACGGGAUUAGAAACCCUAGUAGUCC